GUCUCGUAGGGCUGCCUUCCACAUCUGCAACUCCAUGGCUCCAUUCAAUCUAUCAGCAUGUUCAGCCAAUGCUAUGCCAAAACUAUCUCUUUGAUGGCGUACAUCCGAUGGAUCUAUAUGGUAAAAUACAGGUGCGGAUUCCCUUUUGAUACAAAGCAUUGUACAGAUGGGAAAUAAAAUUAUAUCGAGUAUCUUUUCCUCUAAAGCUCAAGAACACAUCAUAGAGACAUGGAGAGGUAUAAGAAGAAGAGGAUGAAGAAGAGGCCAUGGAAUAAAUUAGUCAGGAUAGUGUGUAUGUAAUGCCUGAAUCUACGUGCUGGAUUUAUGUAGAGAGUUGGUUAUCAUCGAUUCUCCUAAGUAAAGAGAAGUCCAUGCCGCUUUCUCACACCA
Carya illinoinensis is the source of this 390-nucleotide long non-coding RNA. RefSeq lists it as uncharacterized. NCBI's taxonomy places the organism in Eukaryota, Viridiplantae, Streptophyta, Magnoliopsida, Fagales, Juglandaceae. The record is from RefSeq and is a predicted model, not a curated record. The transcript has 2 exons.